Molecule: transfer RNA, 73 nt
Filed under: bacterium HR11
Lineage: Bacteria
Description: tRNA-Val
Source: RNAcentral
CCCGAACUCCCGAAGGACGCCGGACCCCGCCCUAACGGGGCGGGGCCGGGUGUUCGGGAUUCCCGGAUGGGCC